RNAcentral lists this ribosomal RNA (253 nucleotides) under uncultured bacterium. RNAcentral describes it as "partial 16S ribosomal RNA". It matches the Rfam family "Bacterial small subunit ribosomal RNA", at positions 524 to 776 of the family's 1533-position model. The record is from RNAcentral.
UACGUAGGGGGCAAGCGUUGUCCGGAAUCACUGGGCGUAAAGCGCACGUAGGCGGCUUUCUAAGUCAGGGGUGAAAUCCUGGAGCUCAACUCCAGAACUGCCUUUGAUACUGGAGAGCUUGAGUCCGGGAGAGGUGAGUGGAACUCCGAGUGUAGAGGUGAAAUUCGUAGAUAUUCGGAAGAACACCAGUGGCGAAGGCGGCUCACUGGCCCGGUACUGACGCUGAGGUGCGAAAGCGUGGGGAGCAAACAGG